Molecule: ribosomal RNA, 467 nt
Filed under: uncultured bacterium
Lineage: Bacteria
Description: partial 16S ribosomal RNA
Rfam family: Bacterial small subunit ribosomal RNA
Source: RNAcentral
ACGCACGCUGGCGGCGUGCUUCACACAUGCCAGUCGCACGGAAAGGCCCUGCUUUUGUGGGGUGCUCGAGUGGCGAACGGGUGAGUAACACGUGAGUAACCUGCCCUUGACUUUGGGAUAACUUCAGGAAACUGGGGCUAAUACCGGAUAGGAGCUCCUGCUGCAUGGUGGGGGUUGGAAAGUUUCGGCGGUUGGGGAUGGACUCGCGGCUUAUCAGCUUGUUGGUGGGGUAGUGGCUUACCAAGGCUUUGACGGGUAGCCGGCCUGAGAGGGUGACCGGCCACAUUGGGACUGAGAUACGGCCCAGACUCCUACGGGAGGCAGCAGUGGGAAAUAUUGCACAAUGGGCGGAAGCCUGAUGCAGCAACGCCGCGUGCGGGAUGACGGCCUUCGGGUUGUAAACCGCUUUCGCCUGUGACGAAGCGUGAGUGACGGUAAUGGGUAAAGAAGCACCGGCUAACUACGUG